GAAUAAAAAAAAAUGAAAAAUGAAAAAUGAAAAAUGAAAUGAUAAAAAAAGUAAUUACAGUAAUUCUAAAGGUAUCACUCGACUCUGA
RNAcentral lists this non-coding RNA (88 nucleotides) under Helicotheca tamesis. The record is from RNAcentral. Lineage: Eukaryota; Bacillariophyta; Thalassiosirophyceae; Lithodesmiales; Lithodesmiaceae.